UACCAUAUUACAUACUCCCCUAACUGACUACUCCUUUGCAUGCCUUUAACUCCUUGCUCAAAAGCACAUGCCUUCAACUUAAUAACAUGAUAAGGUUUUGGAAUAAAAUGCUUUUAUUGUGAUAAUUGCUCUUUUUACAUUCGUUAGAAUCCUUUCAAGCAGGGUCUCUAUCCACAUAAAUUUUGGCUAAUGCAGUUGAUCAAAUUAAAAAUGCCAAAAGAGUCACGAGAUAUAUGGGUAGUAAACUAGAAGCCUUGGUGGGUAUAUGCGGUAUUGAAGGAGAAUGAAGGGAUAUGAUUUUUUUAUUAAUGUAUUACUGCAGCUAUGGUAUGUAUUUUUUAUUGUGAAUUUGUUAUGCCAUUUUUAGAUUUUUUUUUUUUUAAGGUUGUUUUUCCUAUUUUCUAAGCAAAUUUAAAAUUAGCCAUGGUGUAUAGUAAAUAGAAUAAAUAAUAAUGAUAAUUUGAUCUGAACUCUUGCUUUCACAUGAGUUUGUAGUGAUAUUUUUUAGAUUUAAAAAUUCAUAAUUUAAAUACUUAGUAUUUUAAUUUUUUAUGAUCUUAAAUAGGAAUUUACUAGAAGAUUAAUUUGACAUUUCAUAAAUCUAUUAAAUAUUGAGUUUUGUUUUCUAGCUUUUUAUUUUAAAAUUUAAUUAAUUUAAAUUUAAUUUAAUUAUUUUAUAUUUUAUAUUCAGAGUAGUAUACUUUCAAUGCAAAAGCAUUAUAAUAUAGAUAGAUGCCUUAAAUUUCAUAUUACCUUCUAACUUAUUGGUUAAAUCCAUUAUUUUUAUCGAAACAUGUACUCAAGAGUCAAAGUUUUUCUCUAACCUUAAUACUUUUUUUUUAGUGUUAACAGAAAUUAAUUUCAUUUAUACUUUUUUCGGUAUUAACAUAAAUUCAUUUCAUUAAAACAGAUGUACAUGAACAGUAAACGAGAAUGAAAAAGAAAAUAAGCCGAAAGGAAAGUGAGAGGUAGAUGGAAAAACGAGAAACCAAUGGGAAAGGAAAUCUUGGGGCAGAUAGAUAUAUCUCGAGUAAGUAAAGCUUUACUCUAAGCCUCUAUUAAUGCGAGGAUUUAUCUUUGUCAAUAAAUUCAUCUUGUUAAAUCAUAAUUUCAUUUUUCUAUUAGUCUCUUUUCUUUUCUUUCUGGGUGAUGGUAAGUAUUUUUUAGGUUAUCUUGCUCUUGCCCCAUCUUUCUCUUCUUUGUUUACCACUAAUUUUUUUUUAUGUUAUUUAAAUUCACUACAUAUUGCUUGGCUUUUGCAUAUUAACUUUGUCAAUUUAUCAUUCUUUUGUUUUCACAGGUGACUUAUGGGAUGAAAAUGAAUGCUCUCAUGAUGUGAAUCUCAAUUCGUUUGGUUUGUUGUUUGCUUGGUUUUAUCGAGUGCUCAUAUUUGAAAUCUUAGCUUGGUGGUUUAUUUCCAGCUGAUCUUUUAUGAAUUGUUUAAUUUUUGUCUGUCAAUGAAAGAAACAUUAAUAAAUUGGGUAUCGGCC
Molecule: long non-coding RNA, 1490 nt
Filed under: Amborella trichopoda
Lineage: Eukaryota; Viridiplantae; Streptophyta; Magnoliopsida; Amborellales; Amborellaceae
Description: long non-coding RNA (ATRI_LNC004518)
Source: RNAcentral